This is a long non-coding RNA of Sander lucioperca (pikeperch), 1145 nucleotides long. RefSeq lists it as uncharacterized. The record is from RefSeq and is a predicted model, not a curated record. Lineage: Eukaryota; Metazoa; Chordata; Actinopteri; Perciformes; Percidae. The transcript has 3 exons.
UUAAUUUGAAGAGAGUCUUUAAAGAGUCUCACUUUAAACCCCAUGCUUUAAACCUGCAAUACCAUAUUUAUUUUGGCCACUUGGAGACAGCGGAAACAAACUGGGAACACAUUGACAAAUCAUCACCUUUUAAGCCCUGUCCAGCUGACCUGUGUGGUGCUUCAGAAAUAAUAACAGCAUUGAGAACAGCAACAGCGGUGACAAGAGCUAUUACAACGCCAUGCAACACAACAGCAGAGGACAGACAGCACUCAGCACCAGAUGGGCGCUUCCUGUGCCAGGCAGGAAAUGGCACUGAGCUCCCUCGCCAUCAUAUUUCAUUUUAGCAGAGAACAGAGAUGAUCAUCACUUCAUCCUCGACACAUCCAUCCCCCAACGGGGCCUAACGUGAAUACCAAUACGGCCGGCAAACGUUGCAAUUAAUGGAGCCAAUAUGUCAGGAACACCGGAGAGGCAAGCUUCGAGCCUCCUGCUUCAGGAAAAGAGAGGCAGAUGUGAUGUGAGCAGAGAUGACUUUUCUGUUCUCGGGAGGGAAAAAACUCCUCUUGUCCCCCCUUUCCCUACCUCCAUCUGCCCAUAUGUGCAAGGAUCCCCAGUAUCAUCUUUACUUAGGGGAAUCUGCUUUGAAAUAUAUCGGCUUUAUAAAUGCCUGUCUCUUUCUAUUUGAAUGUUUUUACACAGAGCCGAGAAGCAUCAGUCAGGUGAAUGAGAGGCAUGCUGUUUUUUUUUCUAAAAUAAAAGCAAAUUGCAUUUGCCCUGCCAUACACAGUUUGUCGCCGCAGGGAUGUUCUGUUUGUGUUUGUGUCUGUGAAGAAGAAGGCAUUUGAAUUGUUUGUUAAAAAAAAAGUAUUCAGACGGAGAGAAUCAGACAUUUAUACACUUCACGUUACUGACUAAUGUGGAUGAAUUUGAAAAUGUAUAAUUUAUGGGUGGAAAGUUUUUUCUAAUGCAUAUCAGUGUUUUCAGAUCCUUAUUUAAAUUUUUCUGUCAACAUCAAUAUCUCUUCUUCUCCUUAUUUUAAUGGCAGUUGGGUAAACACAAAAGGGUGCUUUGAGGCUACGAUGUGGUAAAGAAAACUCAGCUAUGUCACCUCCGAGUUUCUCUGGCAUUAUUUUCAUUAGUUUCAAUACAGCCAGUCACAUAAA